UGUGGUUCCGGUGAGGUCGCCCUUCUAUGAAGGGAGGAAAGUCCGGACUCCAUAGGGCAAGGAGCUGCCAAAAGGCAGGUAGGGGCAACCCUACGGAUAGGGCCACAGAGAAAAGACUACCUGUCUCGAUAGGUGUUUGUAGGCUGUAAAAGCCGUAAAACCUAUCCAGACAGGUACAGGUGAAACGGUGGGGUAAAAGCCCACCAGCUGUCAGCGUGAGCUGGCAGGCUCGGUAACCCCCUCCUGGAGCAAUCCCAAGUAGGGAGGCUUUAAAGGUUGCCCGCCUGAUGCCUCCGGGUAGGGAGCUCAGAUAAAUGACCUCAAAAACAGAAUCCGGCUUACCAGGAACCACAGGCA
This 357-nucleotide RNase P RNA is filed under the name Aquificota bacterium. RNAcentral describes it as "Aquificae bacterium RNase P RNA component class A". It matches the Rfam family "Bacterial RNase P class A". Rfam says of the family: Ribonuclease P (RNase P) is a ubiquitous endoribonuclease, found in archaea, bacteria and eukarya as well as chloroplasts and mitochondria. Lineage: Bacteria; Pseudomonadati; Aquificota. The record is from RNAcentral.